CCGCGGCGAGAGCAGGUGCACGUGGGUGUCGAUGGCGCCGGCGGUGGCGAUCAGGCCCUCGCCGGAGACGAUCGUGGUGCCGGUGCCGACGACCACGUCCACGCCGUCCAGGGUGUCCGGGUUCCCGGCCCGGCCGAUCGAGGCGAUCCGGCCGCCGAUCAGGCCGAUGGACGUCUUGCGGAUGCCCUGGAUCGCGUCGAUGACCAGGACGUUGCUGAUCACCACGUCGCAG
Molecule: small RNA, 232 nt
Filed under: Kitasatospora aureofaciens
Lineage: Bacteria; Bacillati; Actinomycetota; Actinomycetes; Kitasatosporales; Streptomycetaceae
Description: 5' ureB small RNA
Rfam family: 5' ureB small RNA
Source: RNAcentral